Molecule: non-coding RNA, 30 nt
Filed under: Rattus norvegicus (Norway rat)
Lineage: Eukaryota; Metazoa; Chordata; Mammalia; Rodentia; Muridae
Source: RNAcentral
GUGUUUAAAAAAAGGGCUAUCUUUAUCCUG